UACGGAGGGUGCGAGCGUUGUCCGGAAUCACUGGGCGUAAAGGGCGCGUAGGUGGCUCGUGAAGCGUGCGGUGAAAGUCCGAGGCUCAACCUCGGAUCGGCCGUGGCGACUCGUGGGCUGGAGCACUGUAGAGGCGGGUGGAAUUCCGGGUGUAGCGGUGGAAUGCGUAGAGAUCCGGAAGAACACCAGUGGCGAAGGCGGCCCGCUGGGCAGUGGCUGACGCUGAAGCGCGACAGCGUGGGGAGCAAACAGG
Molecule: ribosomal RNA, 253 nt
Filed under: uncultured bacterium
Lineage: Bacteria
Description: partial 16S ribosomal RNA
Rfam family: Bacterial small subunit ribosomal RNA
Source: RNAcentral